RNAcentral lists this long non-coding RNA (547 nucleotides) under Helianthus annuus (common sunflower). RNAcentral describes it as "hypothetical non coding rna". Lineage: Eukaryota; Viridiplantae; Streptophyta; Magnoliopsida; Asterales; Asteraceae. The record is from RNAcentral.
ACAGCACUGGACACAGAUGGGCGAUUAUUGAAAAACCCAACACCUAGAAGGCAAGAUAAUUCUUUUGGCGGUUGUGUAACCUUGGUGAACUCGUUUUUGGUACACUAAAUGCUCGCACUAAACUAAAGGGUACAAAGUGUAAAGGAUUGGCUACCUUUAUAAAUGGGUUGUGUGUUGCAUGAGAAGCGAGUGCGAGGAAAGUCUUAAUUGUUUUUUGGGUUCAGAUUAGUCAGGCCGGAUUUGCAAUUGUUGUUCUAACAUAAUCCACACUGAGUGAAUGACGAAAAAGAAAAAAAAAGAUGAAAUUUCUAAGCAAUUGGUUUAGACCUCUCCAAGUGAGGUUCAUGACAUAUCCAUGAUGUUUCCAAUUGAUGCUGCAAGAUCUGUAAUUGGGCAGGUCAGAGAUUUGAUUCUAGGUUUUGUUUCUUCAACAAUGUUCACGUAAAAGUUUCGUCUUUUUAUGGUAUUCUUUUCGGUAUUGCAAUAUGUAAUGUUAUAUGUAGUAAAUUUAACUUAAUGUUGUUUUGAAUAUAUUUGCUUUCUGCGG